UCAAAAUAGAAAAUACUAGCUAUACUUCAUAUCUAGUGAGUUAACUUGCUCUCACUUUUCAUCAGAACAAAGAUGAAGGAAAAGAGUUAGAUGUUCUCCUUCCAGCUCAUUUUUAGGUGUGUAGCCUCUUAAUUCUAGCCCUCUGAUACUAGAAACUACCCUCACCAGAAUGCUCACACUCUUUUAGAAAAAUCUACAAUACUUCUUUUUCUUAUUUCAUUUUUAAGGAGGAAAUAAGGAAAGUUUUGUGUUGAAAAGAGUGGCAGGAGGAAAAAAAAAAACAAAACUGAAGAGGAGACAUUCUGGAAUAUGAAACUGUUCUCUCAAUUUCCAGGAAGAGGCAUGGCAUAUUUUUUUCUUCAUCAUAUCACCAAAGGAAAAAUAAAAGAAUCAUUGAAAGUAUACAAGGUAGGGAAAUAUCAGUCUAUUCGUUCUUACAGUCCAGUUGUCAGCAUACCAU
Molecule: long non-coding RNA, 460 nt
Filed under: Coturnix japonica (Japanese quail)
Lineage: Eukaryota; Metazoa; Chordata; Aves; Galliformes; Phasianidae
Description: lncRNA (ENSCJPG00005008380.1)
Source: RNAcentral